AGUCAUAAACAUAUCAUGUUUGUGAUACACUGAUAUAUUUUAGUAAAUACCUCUGUUUUACUUUGUCAUCAUUUGGUUUACACUAAUUCCAGUCUAGAAAUGUGAAUUCUACAAUUCUUGCCAAAUACAAAUAUACAAAUUGUGCCAUAGGACAAUAAAUAACUUUUUGAUACAAACCUAUUUUUAGUACAAAGGCAAAACUGUGUAGUGAAUGAACAAACUAUGCUUUAGAUGGAAAUUAGCAGUGAAAUGACAACUGGUUUGAAUGGAUAGUUUUGAAGCCAGCGCAAAUCUUCACAACCUUGGACUAGAAUGGGAAGAAACCAUUUAUUGUCAGUGUGGCACAGCUAUUUAUUUGCGAAAUAUAAUAUGACUGUGAAUCCCUAUGUUCUGCAUAUUUACAAGGGUAUGUCUAAAGAAUCUACCCUGGAAUAAUACAUGAAUCAUAUUCAUUAUUUUUGUAAACAAAUAUUAUACAGAUAUAUGUACAUACAGGUCGACCUCAUAUUUGCAAGUAUUUAACAUGUUAGUAUCUGUGCACUGGAUUACACUGUUGAACACGUGAUAGAUAGAAACAUAGGAUAUAUGAUAUACAUUUGUAUGAUAUUGUUUUCAGAAGAAAAUGAUUUAAUUCAAUUUACUGAAUAGUUUACGUAAAAACAAUAUAUUUUGCGUGUGAUGAACACUGUAUUCUGUGAAGGAUAUUCUUUAUCUAACAUAUUAGGACAUAUUAUAGAUGUUCUAAAAACAAUUAAAGCUGCUAUUCUGAUUCAUGUGUAAAUAUUGAACCAAAAAGAAAAAUUUAAGAAGUCUAUUAAUCAGAUUGGGGACUAGGAAGGGUAUACAGGGUUUGAGUUACUUGGGUAGCAAGGCAGGGAUGUUUGCCACUAGUCAGUGGUUUUCAAAACUGUCCUUGAGGUUCAACAGUCAGCUACAGUUUGCUCCAACAAAUCAAAUAGUUCAUGAAGUUAUUGACCUGGACAUGCCGCUGUUUUCUAUGUGAAAAGAUAUGAAAAAAAAUCAUAGCUGACAUUAGUUAAUCAACAUCUCCACUGAGCAUUGUUUAGUUGGAGAAAAUGUAGAUUCAAGCCACAAAACAACAUUUUGAACUUGUUAUUGAAAGGCAGGUCUAAGGGCAGAUGAAAAUAUAUACGUACAAUCCUUCAUGGAGUUUAUUUGAGAUAUUAUUAAAUAUUCAGUUGUUACCCAAAUAUAUUUUAAAGUAUGCUGAAAUCAGUGAGGGGACAGACCUAUUUAGGUGUUUGACUGGUCCCAUAGAUACCAGUAAGACACUCCGUGUCUGUUGAGUGAGAGGUGAUGAGGUUUGGGGUUAGAUAGUGGUAGAUAGUUAUCCUCAGUCAGCACACCUUUUACGUGGCACACAAAUACUACAGAAAAACAAAAUAAUAUAAUCUUGGAAAUAUUUAACUGUACAAUCUAUAAUAGUAUUGAAGUAAAAUAAAAAUACUAUAACGUAUAUACUGUAACUGGACAUAUGAAUAUGACAUGACUUGUUUAAAAGUUGAUGGUUGAAAACAAUGUAUUUUUUUAUAUUCCUGUUGGCAUGGUGUUUGUAACAGUAGUUGCAUAUAUCCUUUUAGACAGGAGUUGGUUAGUUGUCAUGGAGGACAAGACACGUAGCUCACAGUUGUGUCACUUUUCUUCUCACUCAACUGUGUUUUUUGUUGAUAAAUUAAUGCAUGAAGAAAAUUGUCCAAAGUUUAUCUUUUGAAUUCAAAAUAGGUAGUUGAUAUGUCUCAGAUAUCCCAGACCUAGGGCAAGAGCUGGAACAUUGUUUACAUUGUGGGAGGCAACCUGUUUGCCUAGGGAAACUAGUAAUUGAGUCAAUAUGUUUGGCCUCAGUCAUCAUUUAACUACAGAAAACAUGAAAAGAUAUGGAGAUUUGGAGCUGUGGAAUAUGAUUUGAGUGUUAAAACUCUGGUAUAUAUGCAAUACAAACCUACUGUAAACCUAAAACAUACACUGCUGUUCAAAAGUUUGAGGUCACUAAGAAAUGUCUUUGUUUUUGAAAGAAAAAUUGUCCAUUAAAAUAACAUAAAAUUGAUCUAAAUACAGUGUAGACAUUGUUAAUGUUGUAAAUGACUAUUGUAGCUGGAAACGGCUGAUUUUUUAUGGAGUAUCUACAUAGGCGUACAGCGGCCCAUUAUCAGCAACCAUCAUUCCAGACACUCUAAUGUACUUGUCCUCUUGCUCAGUUGUGCACCGGAGCCUCCCACUCCUCUUUCUAUUCUGGUUAGAGCCCGUUUGCUCUAUUCUGUGAAGGUAGUAGUACACAGCGCUGUACGAGAACUUCUGUUUCUUGGCAAUUUCUCACAUGGAAUAGCAUUCAUUUCUCAGAAGAAGAAUAGACUGACAAGUUUCAGAAGAAAGUUACUUGUUUCUGGCCACUUUGAUUCUGUAAUCAAACCCACAAAUGCUGAUGCUCCAGAUUCUAAACUAGUCUAAAGAAGGACCGUUUUAUUGCUUCAUUAGUCAGGACAACAGUUUUGCGCUGUGCUAACAUAAUUGCAAAAGGGUUUUAUUAAAAUGAUAAACUUGGAUUAGCUAACACUAUGUGUCAUUGGAACACAGGAGUGAUGGUUGCUGAUAAUGGGCCUCUGUAUGCCUAUGUAGAUAUUCAAUAAAAAAAUCUUCUGUUUCCAGCUACAAUAGUAAUUUGCAACAUUAACCAUGUCUACACUGUAUUUCUGACAAAAAAAUAUAUUUUCUUUCAAAAACAAGGACAUUUCUAAGUGACCCCAGAUGUUUGAACGGUUGUGUAUAUACAGUGGGGCAAAAAAGUAUUUAGUCAGCCACCAAUUGUGCAAGUUCUCCCACUUAAAAAUAUGAGAGAGGCCUGUAAUUUUCAUCAUAGGUACACUUCAACUAUGACAGACAAAAUGAGAAGGAAAACAUCCAGAAAAUCACACUGUAGGAUUUUUUAUGAAUUUAUUUGCAAAUUAUGGUGGAAAAUUUGUUGGCACUGACAGAGGUCAAACGUUUUCUGUAAGUCUUCACAAGGUUUUCACACACUGUUGCUGGUAUUUUGGCCCAUUCCUCCAUGCAGAUCUCCUCUAGAGCAGUGAUGUUUUGGGGCUGUUGCUGGGCAACGUGGACUUUCAACUCCCUCCAAAGAUUUUCUAUGGGGUUGAGAUCUGGAGACUGGCUAGGCCACUCCAGGACCUUGAAAUGCUUCUUACGAAGCCACUGUCUUACGAAGCCACUGUCCUUGACAUGCUGAAAGACCCAGCCACGUUUCAUCUUCAAUGCCCUUGCUGAUGGAAGGAGGUUUUCACUCAAAAUCUCACGAUGGCCCCUUCAUUCUUUCCUUUACACGGAUCAGUCGUCCUGGUCCCUUUGCAGAAAAACAGCCCCAAAGUAUGAUUUUUCCACCCACAUGCUUCACAGUAGGUAUGGUGUUCUUUGGAUGCAACUCAGCAUUCUUUGUCCUCCAAACACAACGAGUUGAGUUUUUACCAAAAAGUUAUAUUUUGGUUUCAUCUGACCAUAUGACAUUCUCCCAAUCUUCUUCUGGAUCAUCCAAAUGCUCUCUAGCAAACUUCAGACGGGCCUGGACAUGUACUAGCUUAAGCAGGGGGACACGUCUGGCACUGCAGGAUUUGAGUCCCUGGCAGCGUAGUGUGUUACUGAUGGUAGGCUUUGUUACUUUGGUCCCAGCUCUCUGCAGGUCAUUUACUAGUUCCCCCCAUGUGGUUCUGGGAUUUUUGCUCACCGUUCUUGUGAUUAUUUUGAUACCACGGGGUGAGAUCUUGCGUGGAGCCCCAGAUCGAGGGAGAUUAUCAGUGGUCUUGUAUGUCUUCCAUUUCCUAAUAAUUGCUCCCACAGUUGAUUUCUUCAAACCAAGCUGCAUACCUAUUGCAGAUUCAGUCUUCCCAGCCUGGUGCAGGUCUACAAUUGUGUUUCUGGUGUCCUUUGGCAGCUCUUUGGUCUUGGCCAUAGUGAAGUUUGGAGUGUGACUGUUUGAGGUUGUGGACAGGUGUCUUUUAUACUGAUAACAAGUUCAAACAGGUGCCAUUAAUACAGGUAACGAGUGGAGGACAGAGGAGCCUCUUAAAGAAGAAGUUACAGGUCUGUGAGAGCCAGAAAUCUUGCUUGUUUGUAGGUGACCAAAUACUUAUUUUCCACCAUAAUUUGCAAGUAAAUUCAUUAAAAAUCCUACAAUGUGAUUUUCUGGAUUUUUUUUCUAAUUUUGUCUGUCAUAGUUGAAGUGUACCUUUGAUGAAAAUUACAGGCCUCUCUCAUCUUUUUAAGUGGGAGAACUUGCACAAUUGGUGGCUGACUAAAUACUUUUUUGCCCCACUGUAUUUAUUGGAAAUUGAUAUUUUGUCAGAAUAGGAGUUCAGCUGUGUCCAUCCCCAUAUCAACAGUUUGACAUGGACAAAAAAUGUUGUCUGGCCUUGCGAGUACACUCAUGAGCCUACUGAUAUUGCAUGAGGACGAUGUUAAAUUACUGCAUUCUUCUGAAUCAAGUAGAUCCGUCCAUUUUUGUGCGUGGGGUUUUUUGGUACAUGAGAUGGCAAGUGCUGGAGCCAUAGAACUAUAGAGGUUAAAUAUCUAUGGUUGGAAAAUGACUGUGCGUUGGCACACGGAUGUAUGUUGUGCAGAUAAUGUGUAUGUUUGGCUACAGCAUGGCUCUUAGAUAUGUGGUUUCUAAAGACACAUAAGAUUUCCCCUAUAACCUACCAAUCUACUGAUCCACCAGCAGUGUGACUGUGGUAGUUAAUAAUAUUAUCAAAGACAACAAAACCAUGGCUUCCACCAUUGGCAGCGGUCAGAGAGACCUUUACAGAAUGGUAUCACAUUCCCAUGUUUGAUGACUCGAUCUCUAGAAGUGAGAGGGAUUUCAGUGACAGAAUUGUUGCAGUAAAGCUGCCAUCCUUCAGGUGUUUCCAAAGUAUCAUGUCCCAAUAUACAUUAGAAUCCUUCUCUACAGCAAAAAAAGAUGUCAGAUAAUUUACAUCCAUUUUUUAACAGGGUGUGAAAAGGGCUCUCGAAUCCAUGUAUUCUUACCAUGUUACAUUGGACCUUGCCUUGCCGACUACAUUGAAACUAUGAGAUAUGAAAGUGUUAAUCAGGAAUGCACUUCUGUUUACAACCCUGUAAAAUAACUUGACCAAUUUAAUUAGACCACCGCUUAAUUAAUGUAGAAUCCAACAUGUUAUAUUGCUGCGAGGCUAUUUGUGUCAGUCCAAAGCAGAUACAGGCAUUGCACUGUGAUAGUUUUAGCGCAUAUGUACACAAAUGUGAAUAACUGUGAUUUGUUCAAUGCAUGCAAGUAAUGUACACUGAGUGUACAAAACAUGAAGAAUAUUCGGCAGGGCAUAGACUCUACAAGGUGUCGAAAGUGUUCCACAAGGAUGCUGGUUCACAUUGACACCAUUGCUUCCUACAGUUAUGUCAAGUUAGCUGGAUGUCCUUUUGGUGGUGGACCAUUUUUGAAAGACUGUUUAGCUUGAUAAACCCAGCAGCAUUGCAGUUCUUGACACAAAACGGUGUGCCUGGUACCUUCUACCAUACCCUGUUCAAAGGCACUUAAAUAUUUUGUCUUGUCCAUUCACCCACUGAGUGGCACACAUACACAAUCCAUGUCUCAAUUGUCCUAAGGCUUAAAAAUCAUACUUUAGCCUGUGUCCUCUCCUUCAUCUACUCUGAAUGAAGUGAAAUCACCAAGGGAUCAUAGCUUUCACCUGGAUUCACCUGGUCAGUCUAUGUCAUGGAAAGAGCAGGUGUUCUUAAUGUUUUGUUCACUCAGUGCAUACUACAGUUUGUUUCUGCAAUGUAAUAUUCAUUUAUUUAUUUUACAAUUUCGAUAAAGAAUUUGGCCACAAGUAUUUCAUUAACAGUGUGAAACUAAUCACAGGGUCAAAUAAAUGCAAUGGUCCUACUGAGCAUAUUUUAUACAUGUUGAUUUAGAUUGAAAAUGUAUUAUUAUGCAAUUAUUUAACUACAACACAUUUGCCCCCCCAAAAACAAUUAUGUUAAGUUGCAUACAUCAGCUGCUUCCAGUGUAGUGUAAUCAUUAAAGUCACAAGGGAAAUAAAACUUAAAUCAAUCAUAACAUUUGAAGGGCUAUUCAGUCCAAGGAAAUUUAGACACAUAAUUAUUUUUAGAGAACGUUCCUCCAUAGCUGUGUCUCAAAUGACACCCUUUAUUUGCAACUAUGUUAUAUAUAUAUAUAUAUAUUUUUCAUGGGGUGUCAUUUGAAAUAUACCCCAUGCUCCCAUUUUAUGUACUAAUUCCAACUGCUGUUCUGCACAACCACCCCAUACUCUUCUAAAAUAGCAAUUGUUUUCCAUACAGACCGAUUCUUGAUUAAGCAAGGAACUUUUUAGUUGUUUUCACUGAGGAUGAUACAUAGUGUGAGUGGGAUUUGGUAGCUUUUACUGAGAAUGCACUACUGUGUGUUCAGUAUUCUGGUUCCCUCAGACUUUAGAACCUAGUAUAUGCAUGUAGGUGUGUCGUUUUCAUGACAGUAAAGUAAACCUCAACACAUUGUAUUAAUGUUGAAUAAGCCUCCUUUUUUAGAAGGUAGAAUUUUUGUGCAACCCUCAUGAUUCCUUCAUCAUCUCGAGAAGUGUGGGCACUUAAUGCGAGCAACAAAAAAAAAACAAGAACUAGUGUUUCUAAAUCUUCACUUAUGAUACUGUAUUUAUACUUGGUCCAUAGGAGCAUUGUAACGCAUUUUUAAAGGUACAACUUGAUGUAGAUCUAAAGAUAGCUAUAUUGAUUAGUAGGUGUUUUGUGUUCACAAUUUUAUGUUCACUCUCCUAGCAACAAAAGUGAUGAUGUAGAGUAAAAAUGUAGUGGUGUGUGUGUGUGUGUGUGUGUGUGUGUGUGUGUGUGUGUGUGUGUGUGUGUGUGUGUGUGUGUGUGUGUGUGUGUGUGUGUGUGUGUGUGUGUGUGUG
Long non-coding RNA from Oncorhynchus tshawytscha (Chinook salmon), 6926 nucleotides. Lineage: Eukaryota; Metazoa; Chordata; Actinopteri; Salmoniformes; Salmonidae. The record is from Ensembl.